This 413-nucleotide unclassified non-coding RNA is filed under the name soil metagenome. RNAcentral's name for it is "partial contains 5.8S ribosomal RNA, internal transcribed spacer 2, and large subunit ribosomal RNA". The stretch from base 1 to 120 matches the Rfam family "5.8S ribosomal RNA", at positions 35 to 154 of the family's 154-position model. The record is from RNAcentral.
GAUGAAGAACGUAGCGAAAUGCGAUAAGUAAUGUGAAUUGCAGAAUUCAGUGAAUCAUCGAAUCUUUGAACGCACCUUGCGCUCUUUGGUAUUCCGAAGAGCAUGCCUGUUUGAGUGUCAUGAAAAUAUCAACCUUGACUUGGGUUUUGUGCUCUAGUCUCGGCUUGGAAUUGGGUGCUUGCCGCUUUUACGAGCGGCUCACCUUAAAUGUAUUAGCUGGAUCUGUCUUUGAGACUUGGUUUGACUUGGCGUAAUAAGUAUUUCGCUAAGGUCAUUCUUCGGAGUGGCCUCGUUUCUAGGACGCUUGUCCGCUUUCCAAUACAAGUUCCACCUCGUGGACAUGACUUUUUAUUAUCUGGCCUCAAAUCAGGUAGGACUACCCGCUGAACUUAAGCAUAUCAAUAAGCGGAGGA